RNAcentral lists this unclassified non-coding RNA (572 nucleotides) under Phragmotaenium fulvescens. Lineage: Eukaryota; Fungi; Basidiomycota; Exobasidiomycetes; Georgefischeriales; Tilletiariaceae. The record is from RNAcentral.
AGCUAUGAUCUUGCAAGGCAUCUGGCAUGCGCUCGGUCGACGGUCAAGCUCCGCCUGGCUCUUGAGCCCAAGUCAAGUGCUGUUUCCAUGCAUAUCCGGCUGGAGACGGCCAUGACGAAAUAUGUGGACUUUGCUUUGCCGAUGGCUAGACCAGAGCUACAAAGAAACCACUCGAAGAUCCGCAAGCUGCGCGGUUGUUGGUUGUUGAGAGUCUUCGAGACUAUCCAACGAUGACCCGCGUCUGUAGUCUUCACCAAGGACCAUGAUCGUGUGCAGACGAGCAAGUUCGCUUGCUCGCUCGGCCGCGAGAGUGUGCUCCAGAGCAACGCAAGACCGGCGUACAAGGAGGGCAGGUUUGACGAUUCCGAAGAGUGCAUCACCGACGUAGGCGUUCGCGCCUUUCCGGUGCAGCAGACUCUAGCGAAUACGCGCCGCCUCUUUCAUGAUCAUCUACGAUGACGUUUCGAGAAACACCGUUGGGGUUCUCUUCGAUGCUUUGCGCUCGUCGAGAGCUCCGAUGCCUCUGCUUCGGCGGAGGCGGCUCGAAUAGUUACCUGGUUGAUUCUGCCAGU